UAAGGAAUAUUGGUCAAUGGACGGAAGUCUGAACCAGCCAUGCCGCGUGCAGGACGACUGCCCUAUGGGUUGUAAAACUGCUUUUUAUACGGGAACAAACCCCUAUACGUGUAUAGGGCUGAGUGUACUGUAGGAAUAAGGAUCGGCUAACUCCGUGCCAGCAGCCGCGGUAAUACGGAGGAUCCGAGCGUUAUCCGGAAUUAUUGGGUUUAAAGGGUGCGUAGGCGGCCAAAUAAGUCAGGGGUGAAAGGCGUCAGCUCAACUGUCGCAGUGCCUUUGAUACUGUUUGGCUUGAAUGUGGUUGAAGAUGGCGGAAUGAGACAAGUAGCGGUGAAAUUGCAUAGAUAUGUCUUCAGAACCCCGAUUGCGAAGGCAGCUAUCUAAGCCGUUAUUUGACGCUGAUGCACGAAAAGCGUGGGUAGCAAAACA
RNAcentral lists this ribosomal RNA (429 nucleotides) under uncultured Sphingobacterium sp. Its description in RNAcentral is "bacterial SSU rRNA". It matches the Rfam family "Bacterial small subunit ribosomal RNA", at positions 355 to 775 of the family's 1533-position model. The record is from RNAcentral. Lineage: Bacteria; Pseudomonadati; Bacteroidota; Sphingobacteriia; Sphingobacteriales; Sphingobacteriaceae.